Molecule: long non-coding RNA, 3526 nt
Organism: Panicum virgatum (switchgrass)
Lineage: Eukaryota; Viridiplantae; Streptophyta; Magnoliopsida; Poales; Poaceae
Exons: 4
Source: RefSeq, a predicted model, not a curated record
CGAUGUUUCUGCCGUGCGAGCCCUUUUUUUCUCACCGCGAAACCUACCCUCCUCUCCUUCCGUGGUCGUCAUCUCUUCCGUGAUUGCAGCAUCCAAUCCCCGCGAAAGCAUAUCCUCCUCGAUCGCUGCCUUUCCAUGCCCUUCCGUGAUUGCAGCUGGCGGACAGAGGAAGAGCUUUGCCUUCCGUGAUUGCAGCCGGCGGCCUUUCGUGAUUUCCUUCUAUAGACCAUCGUGAUUUCCUUGGUUUCCUUGAUCCAGCCCGCCGGUGGCCAGCAUGGGAGCUCCCCGCGUCCCCCCGCCUCCGCGGAGGCCGAACCGCAGCAGACGUGGUGGCGGCUUGACGGGGAGCAGCACGGGGGCGGGAUGCCGCACCGGGGACGGUGGUGCCUCUCUGUCUCUCCCAGAUCCAGCGGGCGCAGGAUGCAGUGGCGAGGAUGGCCGGCGUGGGAAGGGAUCCGGUGGGGAAGGUCGGCGAGCGGGGGAUCUGGCCGUCGGGACUGUCGGUGCGGCCGGCGGCCGCAGGAUGCGGCUACGGCCGGUGUGGACCUCCGCAGGGACACCUCUCUCUCUGUCUCUCUCUCCCGACAAUGCCGUAUCCAAACUUCGCCGCCGUGGUGGACAAGGGAAAGCUCCACCAUGGUCGACGAGGGCUAGCGCACCGAGGUCAUGGUGGGCGAGCGCCGUCGAGGUCACGGAGGAGUCGAGCGCCGGCGUGGUGGUGGAGGCCUCACAAUAAAUGCCAUGGCUGGUCCGCUGCCGACGCCGUUGCUGUUGACGGGCCACAGCUCCGCACACGAGCAGAACGUGCCAUCAUCACCAUACCAUUCUCUCUCUCUGUUUUUUUUCUUUGAGGGGAUCUCCCUCUCCAUUCGAUGUUUGUCGAUCUGAUCUGCCCAUUCUCUAUGGUUUUUUGGGUGCGGCGGCAGCGGACGAUGCCCAGCGAAGGAUACACAUAUGGAGAUGGGUCGGAUGUUCCCUAGACUCAUCUGAAUGAGCAUCGCAUGAUAAGAUUUUUGUGACCAUCGGCAAAGAUGAGUGAGCAGCUGGUGGUUCCAGAGGGGCUUCACGACCGCAUCUGCCCUAUCACCACCACGCCCCUGCAUCAGGAAGGAUCGUCCCCCUCUGCCUCCUACACGUGAAGGGAUCCCCUGAAGAUGACCUCAAUCUCCAUGUAGCUGCGUCCUCCCUGAGGUAUUCCUGCCCUCAUUUUUGGAUGUCAUGGUGCCAUGAUUUCAACAAUCUUUCUGCUACAGGCUUGCAAUUUAGAUGCUCAGUAUAUCAGCUCUAAUAUUAUAUUUAGCGGAAACAAUCGUUCUGCUUCAUUAAAUUACUUUUGGCAUUUGAACUAUAUGAAUCGUUGUAUGAUAGGUUAACUAUUCAGUUUGAGAAUUUGAGUACCUGAUUUAUAUCAUGGUUUAAAGCACCUCGUGAACUCUACCUUUAAAUUGAUAGUAUUCUGAGAUCUUCUUUUAUGCUACAAGCUAAUCAUGAUCAUAAAAUUAAUUGGCAUUGUCCGAGCGGAGAACAAGGAUCGACAGUUCUAUAGUUUUAAUCAAAUUCUGGCAGAACUUAUAUGAUAUGCUUGGAUAACAGAGUGUGAUGAUUUUUUUGGUGGUGAGUUUUGUUUGGCAGAGUUGUAAGGGUGCCUUUUCCCCCCUUUCGCAGUUCAUCCCAUUUGUUUAUUAUAAAUUUUGAUUUAUGGACCUACCUGAAUUCGAAGUUUCAGUUAGAUUAGUUUUACUUUUGCUCCCGGCAAUUUGGCCCAUCUACUUCUAAAAGAUUAACUUGGUACUUGGCAUGAUAGGAAGUUUUUUUUUCCUAAAUGGUUUUUUUUUUCAUGUUUGUUACUUUUGAGCUGUUUUCUUUUGGUUCUUAUACUUUGUGUCUGCAUGCUCAUGAGUAGGGUGGUAAUGACUGUUUGAUGCCUAGAAAUAUUAAGAACCUGGCUCAUGGCUGUCUGAUUUUGCAAAUAUCAUAUAUCCAUAUCAUGCAGAACAGGCUUGAUAGGAGCACUCCAUCUUCUGAUCGACAAAAUCUUGUGGACAUGUUUAAUGACCCUGAAAAUGCAAGAGUAAAAUUCGGGUUGAUAUCAACUCGUGCUGGAUCUCUAAGCAUUAAACAACAUGUUGCAAAUCAUGUAGUUCUAGAUGCAUCCUUGAAUCCAGCACACGAUCUGCAAGCCAUUUAUCGAUUUUAGAGGCAAGAACUUGUCACCUGAGUUGCUCAUUAGUUGCACUUGCGAUUAUUUAUUUGUUCAGUAUAUGCGAUUAUUUAUUUAUUCAGUGGUCAUAUUCUUUCCAGGUAUGGGCAGAACAAAGUUGUAUAUGCUUACUGCCUAAUGGCACAUCGAACAAUGGAAGAGAAUAUAUAAGCAGCAGAUAAUUUUGUAUUUUUCUUCUUCUUGUCUGCAGUUCUCAGUUUGAAUUAUCGAAGUUAUUCUCUUGCACUGGUAGAUAAAGGUCCAUCUUUGUUUGAAAAAAGUACUCAUCUUUUUGGAAUUUACAGGUGGAUUGCAGGUUAACAUGAACAUGAAGCCCAUCUCCAAGGUAACCAAAGGAGGUUAUCUUGAGGUUGGGGUUCAGACAUGUGGUGGUGGAUUGUGUGGUUCGACCGCGAUCUUACUAUAGCUGGUAGGGUGAUUAUAUGGGAGAAGAGGGAUGGCGGGGUCUCUUAUGCACAUAAUGAGCAGUGGAGCUAUACGGGCAUAGAUACUACAGGAUGAAGGUGUGGUUUGUUGCAGUAACACUAAGAAAUUUAUAUCCACCUGUUUACAUUAUGUACAGGACUGUCUCAGAAGAUCUCAAGAUUAACAAGAAUGAAAUGCAGAAAAUAGUGGGAGAAAAUGGCCCAAAGGAGUCAUCGGAGAAUAAGAACACGAAGCACCAUCCAUUACUAUUGCAGAUAUCUUCCUUUUUGCUGUUACAGACUUACAGUUCAACUAACUCAUAUAAGAAAUACAUAUUAACAGCCUUGGGAUAUGAAGAAAGUUCCACUGAUGUCAUUUUUUGAUGCAGUUGAUUACUAAAGAGGCUAGGGUCUGAUCGAAUCCGUAGCAUGUCCACUGUCGCACGAAGUUCGUGCUUGUGUUCACGACCAGUGUCAAGUAGGAUGGUGCAUGUGUGUGCUCGUGCCUGCAGGCCGAGUCAGGGUCAGGACACCGGUGUGGCCACGUUCCAAGUUGUGUUCAGCAUGUUUAGCGUGUGCACGUGCUGGCAUGUUAGUUACGAAGGUGCAGGGAUGGCUUAGAGGUGGCAGUUGGCGGCAGCAGCGGAGGAGCACGACGAGCCACGGGAUCAGCAUGGAAGACCAGUUCUCCCGGAGUAUGUGGCUCACGAAUGGGAGAAGGCCAGGUCCCAUAGAGUGUACGUGUGUGUGUGAAAAUCGCUGCUGAUAGUUGUGCGGGCACUACCUCACGGAGAGGCAACAUAUGGCGAUGUAAUUCUUGUGUAAGGUUGUUCAGUCCUUUCGAAGUUGAAUAGAAGCCAACAUACAGGCCGAUGAGUGGUUGGAGCGGUCAUUGCCAAAA